UUACGUCAUCUGGCCGCGACGAAGCGGCGGCUGGCCUUACUGUUGCUGGGAGGAGGCUGGAACGGCAGCCGCCGGGGCCGAGAUGAUGCCUGCCAGAGGGAGGUUUCCUGGGCAGCAGAGGCCGCUAGGGUUGGGAUGAAAGAAGCGGGGCAGAUGCAACAUCUGGAGAACGCGGGGACAUGGCGGUCAGUCAGCACCCAGACGGGCAGUAUGACCGGUGAAACACCAAGGCUUUCUAAAGUCAACCUUUUCACUCUCCUCAGCCUCUGGAUGGAGCUCUUCCCAGCUACAGAAGCCCAAAGACAAAAAUCUCAGAAAAAGGAAGAAGGAAAGCAUGGAGCCUUAGGAGAUAAUGAAGACAUGGCUAGAGGACCUACUGACAAAAAACAGGUAAAGAGAACUGGCCUUGUGGUGGUGAAAAACAUGAAAAUUGUUGGUCUUCAUUGUUCUAGUGAAGAUUUACAUGCUGGGCAAAUUGCUCUUAUUAAACAUGGGUCAAGGCUGAAAAGCUGCGACCUUUACUUUUCCAGAAAACCGUGUUCUGCUUGUUUGAAAAUGAUUGUAAAUGCUGGAGUCAACCGAAUUUCAUAUUGGCCUGCUGAUCCAGAAAUAAGUUUGCUUCCUGGGCCUUCCAGUUCUGAAGAUGCAAAGUUAGAUGCCAAAGCAGUGGAAAGAUUGAAGUCAAACAGUCGGGCCCACGUGUGUGUUUUACUUCAACCUUUGGUGUGUUAUAUGGUGCAGUUUGUAGAGGAAACCUCUUACAAAUGUGACUUUAUUCAGAAAAUUACCAAAACACUGCCGGAUGAUAAUUUUGACUUUUACUCUGAAUGUAAACAAGAAAGAAUAAAAGAAUAUGAAAUGCUAUUUUUGGUUUCAAAUGAAGAAAUACAUAAGCAGAUACUGAUGACUAUAGGUUUGGAGAACUUGUGUGAAAACCCAUACUUUAGCAAUCUAAGGCAAAACAUGAAAGACCUCGUCCUACUUUUGGCCACAGUAGCUUCCAGUGUGCCGAACUUUAAGCACUUCGGAUUUUAUUGUAGCAAUCCAGAACAGAUUAAUGAAAUUCACAGUCAAAGUUUGCCACAAGAAAUUGCAAGGCACUGCAUGGUUCAGGCCAGGUUAUUGGCAUAUCGAACUGAGGAUCAUAAAACAGGAGUUGGAGCAGUCAUUUGGGCGGAAGGGAAAUCUAGAAAUUGUGAUGGAACAGGAGCAAUGUACUUCCUGGGGUGUGGCUAUAAUGCUUUUCCUGUUGGAUCCGAGUACGCUGACUUUCCCCACAUGGAUGACAAGCAGAAAGACAGAGAGAUCCGGAAAUUCAGAUACAUUAUACACGCGGAACAGAAUGCCCUGACAUUCAGAUGUCAAGAAAUAAAGCCAGAAGAAAGAAGCAUGAUUUUUGUGACCAAGUGCCCGUGUGAUGAGUGUGUACCUUUAAUUAAAGGUGCAGGCAUAAAACAAAUAUAUGCUGGGGAUGUAGAUGUUGGAAAGAAGAAGGCAGACAUCUCUUACAUGAGGUUUGAGGAGCUCGAGGGUGUUAGCAAGUUUACGUGGCAGCUGAAUCCAUCAGGAGCUUAUGAUCUUAAACAAAGUGAACCCGAAAGGAGAGAAAAUGGUGUGUUGAGCCCCAGAUGUCUGGAAGAGCAGCACCAGAACAAGAAGCUGUGUCUCGGAAACCACUAAGAAGUCCUGAUUAAACUGGAGUAAAGGCCUCAAGAAUUUUUAUUGCACUUUUAAAAUUUAUUGCACUCAGAAAAUAAGGAUGGAUUUUGGGAAUAAUUGAAAUGAUUUGUAAGGGAGCUAAUUUAUUACUAGAUAGAUUUUCAUCUAUAUACUGUGGAUGGCAUCUUUUUUAUUACAUCUACAAUCAACACCGGAGAAUGCCAUCAAUAAUGAGGGAGUCUCUACAUCCGAUCAGUUUGAAGUCUUAAGCCAGAACUCAGGACUCCAGAAGUCAGAAAGCUUUCCUGCCUCUGCUUCAGCAGGUCAAUUCCAUGGGAAUUCAACUUCACCUUCCUCAGACUUUCCUGAUUAGACCAACCUACAGAAUUGAGACUUGCCAAGACCCCAGAUUAUGUGAGCCAAUUCCUAUAACUUUUAUAUAUCUCCUGAUGGUUCUAUCUACAGAACCCUGAUGUAUAACAGUAUCAUCUGCAAUUCUUUCCACUAGUCUCUCUCUUCACCAGGUGGAGGUUUGGUACUAAGUGAUGAAAACAUCCCCCAUUUCCUUACUUUUUCUGAUUUUCUGCCUCCAAUUAUAACACAAUUCUGAUUUCCUAAAAAUGAAUAAUGUUGCUAAGACUGUUGUGAUGAACUUUGGAAAUAUGUGCAUUGUGUCAUAUGAGUUUACUUAUUUGUUUACUGAGUUUGUUUCAUGCCAAUUACAGAUUUAGGUGCUUAACUUGAAGCAUCUUAUUUAAUUUGUCUAAUUGACUCCUCACACAAAUCUUUAUUACAUUUGUAAUAGUUGAAUAUAUCCACAUUCACACAUGCUUUUUAACAGCUGUGUAAUACUGGCCGGACUUGAACUGAAUGUCACCUAUUUCCACAUGCCGAAUUUAUGAGAAUCCUACAAAAAGAUAUCUACAAAUAUUUUCAUAAAUAUAUUGAUAAAUCACAAAAAAGUAGGUAAAGGCCAAGUUUACAUAUAAAGGAGACUAGGUAAACAAUUGGUGGAAUUAACAUAAUUGUAAAGUACUAAAUAUAUAAACAGAACAAACUAUAGAUACACAUAAUAUCCCUGUGCUGAGUGAAAGAAGCGUUACCAAAUAUUAUUCAUAUUAUUUCAUUAAUAUGAAGUAUUAUAACAGGUGAAAAAUAUCCAUUAGAGAAAAAAAAUCGGGACAUGUUUGGGGAUUGAGUGAAAAUGGGUAAGAGGGAACAUUCUGGAGUGAAGGUUAAUUGUGUAUACCUUGAAAGGGAUUUGGGUUACUUUUAACAUGUUUGUUAAAAGUCAUCACUAAGAUAUGCAUUUCAUUGUGUGUAAAUUUUAAAUAAAGCUGAAUACAACAGAAGGACUGUGGGAAGAUAAUGGAGUAGGAAACUCCAGGAAUCAAUCCUUCCACCACAACAGCUACCGAACUUGUAGACUGAAUCAACUAUUCUGAAACUACAGAAUUUAGUAAAACACUAUGGAGCAUCCAGAUAAGAGUGGGAGUGGCAGAAAGAGGAUGGUAAAUUCCUGAAAACACUGCUCAAUUUCACACCCUGUGCAGUGACUCUGGUAAUUCAUCCCCCAGAUUCCCUGCAGGCAGCAGGGGGUCCACAGCUUCAGCUCUAGUGAAGACUGCUGGUGCCAGGGUGGGAUAUAAAGACCUAAUACCCAAGACCCGUGGGUGUGUGGUCCAGUAGCUGAUCACUGCUUUCCUUCAGAUCAUUCAUAUUACUAUGGGCCAGCUCUGAGAGUGGCUAUCGUUCUACCCUGCCUCAAGCAAAAGAAGCAGAGGAGUCUUCAAGACAUUAUCCCUCCUCAAAACUAUAAAAAACAUUUGAGGGCUUCACUAACAGGUGUUAGAUCCCAGAAAGAAAGAAACUAACAUGUAGAAGGAGUUUCUAACCCAGGGGCCCCCGCAGCUUAUCUCACAGAAAACAGGCACCCCAUAAAUGAAAAGAUGAAG
Molecule: RNA transcript, 3614 nt
Organism: Choloepus didactylus (southern two-toed sloth)
Lineage: Eukaryota; Metazoa; Chordata; Mammalia; Pilosa; Megalonychidae
Gene: CDADC1
Gene name: cytidine and dCMP deaminase domain containing 1
Exons: 11
Source: RefSeq, a predicted model, not a curated record